UGCAAGUCGAGCGAGAAGCACUUCGGUGUGAGUACAGCGGCGGACGGGUGAGUAACGCGUAGGAAUCUACCCGGUAGUGGGGGACAACUUGGGGAAACCCAAGCUAAUACCGCAUACGCCCCAAGGGGGAAAGCGGGGGAUCUUCGGACCUCGCGCUAUCGGAUGAGCCUGCGUAGGAUUAGCUAGUUGGUGGGGUAAAGGCUCACCAAGGCGACGAUCCUUAGCUGGUCUGAGAGGAUGAUCAGCCACACUGGGACUGAGACACGGCCCAGACUCCUACGGGAGGCAGCAGUGGGGAAUAUUGCGCAAUGGGCGAAAGCCUGACGCAGCCAUGCCGCGUGUGUGAAGAAGGCCCUAGGGUUGUAAAGCACUUUCAAUUGGGAAGAAAAGCUGUUGCUUAAUAAGUAACAGCCCUGACAUUACCUUUAGAAGAAGCACCGGCUAACUCCGUGCCAGCAGCCGCGGUAAUACGGAGGGUGCGAGCGUUAAUCGGAAUUACUGGGCGUAAAGCGCGCGUAGGCGGUUUGUAAAGUCGGAUGUGAAAGCCCCGGGCUCAACCUGGGAACUGCAUUCGAUACUGGCCGACUAGAGUACGAGAGAGGG
Molecule: ribosomal RNA, 603 nt
Filed under: uncultured Gammaproteobacteria bacterium
Lineage: Bacteria; Pseudomonadati; Pseudomonadota; Gammaproteobacteria
Description: bacterial SSU rRNA
Rfam family: Bacterial small subunit ribosomal RNA
Source: RNAcentral